This 241-nucleotide ribosomal RNA is filed under the name Poecilia reticulata (guppy). Its description in RNAcentral is "partial 28S ribosomal RNA". The record is from RNAcentral. Lineage: Eukaryota; Metazoa; Chordata; Actinopteri; Cyprinodontiformes; Poeciliidae.
CAGAAUCCCGCCUAGACGUAACGAUACCGUAGCGCCGCAUCGCUUCGGUCGGACUCCGAUACCCGACUCCGGUCGGCGAGGAGCGCCUUCCGUGACUGGGCUGGGGCGUGGCCGGACGAUGGUCACCCCUCUCCUAUCGCGCACAGCAUGUUCGUGGAGAACGUGGUGCUAAAUGACUUGCAGACGACCUGAUUCUGGGUCAGGGUUUCGUACGUNGCAGAGCAGNNCCCUCGNUGCGAUC